UACGGGGGGGGCAAGCGUUGUUCGGAAUUACUGGGCGUAAAGGGCGCGUAGGCGGUUUGCUAAGUCGGAUGUGAAAACUCUGGGCUCAACCCAGAGCCUGCAUCCGAAACUGGCAGGCUAGAGUUCUGGAGGGGGUAGCGGAAUUCCUGGUGUAGCGGUGAAAUGCGUAGAUAUCAGGAGGAACACCGGUGGCGAAGGCGGCUACCUGGACAGAAACUGACGCUGAGGCGCGAAAGCUAGGGGAGCAAACAGG
This 253-nucleotide ribosomal RNA is filed under the name uncultured bacterium. Its description in RNAcentral is "partial 16S ribosomal RNA". It matches the Rfam family "Bacterial small subunit ribosomal RNA", at positions 524 to 776 of the family's 1533-position model. The record is from RNAcentral.